Molecule: small nucleolar RNA, 71 nt
Organism: Coregonus clupeaformis (lake whitefish)
Lineage: Eukaryota; Metazoa; Chordata; Actinopteri; Salmoniformes; Salmonidae
Source: RefSeq, a predicted model, not a curated record
UUUCAAUGACGAUAUCUUUGUCCAGUUCUGCUACUGAAUUCUAGUGAUUUGGUAUUUGUGACUCUGAGAAA